UAAGGAAUAUUGGUCAAUGGACGCAAGUCUGAACCAGCCAUGCCGCGUGAAGGAUGAAGGUCCUCUGGAUUGUAAACUUCUUUUAUCUGGGACGAAAACGGGAUUUUUAUCUCAAUUGACGGUACCAGAGGAAUAAGCACCGGCUAACUCCGUGCCAGCAGCCGCGGUAAUACGGAGGGUGCGAGCGUUAUCCGGAUUUACUGGGUUUAAAGGGUGCGUAGGUGGGCUUAUAAGUCAGUGGUGAAAUCUCCGAGCUUAACUUGGAAACUGCCGUUGACACUAUAGGUCUUGAAUUAUCUGGAGGUAAGCGGAAUAUGUCAUGUAGCGGUGAAAUGCUUAGAUAUGACAUAGAACACCAAUUGCGAAGGCAGCUUACUACAUAUAAAUUGACGCUGAGGCACGAAAGCGUGGGGAUCAAACA
RNAcentral lists this ribosomal RNA (421 nucleotides) under uncultured bacterium. Its description in RNAcentral is "bacterial SSU rRNA". It matches the Rfam family "Bacterial small subunit ribosomal RNA", at positions 355 to 774 of the family's 1533-position model. The record is from RNAcentral.